CAAUAGCGUAUAUUAAAGUUGUUGCGGUUAAAAAGCUCGUAGUUGGAUUUCUGUUGAGGACGACCGGUCCGCCCUCUGGGUGAGUAUCUGGCUCGGCCUUGGCAUCUUCUUGGAGAACGUAACUGCACUUGACUGUGUGGUGCGGUAUCCAGGACUUUACUUGAGGAAAUUAGAGUGUUCAAGCAGGCGUCGCCUUGAAUACAUUAGCAUGGAAUAAUGAUAUAGGCGACUGAGUCUAUUUUGUUGGUUUCUAGGCUCAGUUGAAUGAUUAAUAGGGACAGUUGGGGGCAUUCGUAUUAUGACGUCAGAGGUGGAAUUCUUGGAUUGUCAUACGACGAACUACUGCGAAAGCAUUUGCCAAGGAUGUUUUCAUUGAUCAAGAACGAAAGUAAGGGGAUCGAAGA
This 404-nucleotide ribosomal RNA is filed under the name uncultured eukaryote. RNAcentral describes it as "bacterial SSU rRNA". It matches the Rfam family "Eukaryotic small subunit ribosomal RNA", at positions 592 to 1004 of the family's 1831-position model. The record is from RNAcentral.